This 840-nucleotide long non-coding RNA is filed under the name Marmota monax (woodchuck). Lineage: Eukaryota; Metazoa; Chordata; Mammalia; Rodentia; Sciuridae. The record is from RNAcentral.
GUGAUUUUAAAAAGCAUUUCUACUUAGGGUGUUUUCAAUUUAUUUUGGGCUUAUUGGGAUGUAACCCCAUUGUAAGUCAAAGAGCAUCUGUUUACACUACUUGUAACUGUGUGUAUGAAGAGAAAACCAUCAUGCCCAUGGGUUAAACUUUAGAUUUCAGAGUCUGUCUUCUUGGGCUCAAUUUCUGCCUUUGCCAAUUAUUAGCCAAACAACUUGAGCCAGCGUACUUGACACUCCUGAGUUUCAUUUUCCUUUUCUAAAAGAGAGACAAUAAUAGUACCUGCCUCAGGGUAGUUGUGAGGAUUAAAUGAAGUAUUAUGUGAGUUUAAGAGAGAGAAUGCUCUUCACAGUGAAAAGCUCACAGGGGUGGGGGACUCCAUCUUGCCUAGUGGAUUUGAAUGAGGCUCUAACAAGAACUGGCAGGAUAACUAAUCCACCUGUACUCAGCUGCCUUGAAUUUGAACUGGGAAUAAGGGAGUCAGGCUUUUCUGAGGAUUAAAGAGAUAAGGGCAUUUAGAAUAAUACCUAGUAGAUAAUAGCACAGAAGUGAUUGUUAUCAUGCACUAUUUUCUCCAGGUAUCAGAAGAGUAUCAUUACAAGGUAGAUGCUCUGUUUACUCAAAGGCAUAGUCAAUAAUUUUUAAAGAACUGUUUGAAGCUAGACAUGGUGGCACACACCUGUAAUCCCAGAUACUUGAAAUGCUCAGACAGGAGGAUCCAAGUUUUAGGCCAGUCUGGGCAACUUAGUGAGACCUAUCUCAAAUUAAAAAAUAAAAAGGGCUGGGAUGUAACUCAGUGCUAGAGCACCCCUGGGUUCAAUCCCCAGUGCUUAAAAAAAGAA